RNAcentral lists this transfer RNA (65 nucleotides) under Botryllus gaiae. RNAcentral's name for it is "transfer RNA-Asn". The record is from RNAcentral. Lineage: Eukaryota; Metazoa; Chordata; Ascidiacea; Stolidobranchia; Styelidae.
ACUAAUUUAGUAUAAAUUAGUACAGGUUACUGUUAAUAACCAAGUAUUUUGCAGAAUAAUUAGUG